GUAAGGAAUAUUGGUCAAUGGACGGAAGUCUGAACCAGCCAUGCCGCGUGCAGGAAGACGGCCCUACGGGUUGUAAACUGCUUUUGUACGGGAAUAAACCCAGGUACGUGUACCUGGCUGAAUGUACUGUAAGAAUAAGGAUCGGCUAACUCCGUGCCAGCAGCCGCGGUAAUACGGAGGAUCCAAGCGUUAUCCGGAUUUAUUGGGUUUAAAGGGUGCGUAGGCGGCUUAUUAAGUCAGGGGUGAAAGGCGGUAGCUUAACUAUCGGAGUGCCCUUGAUACUGAUGAGCUUGAAUGCAGCUGAGGUAGGCGGAAUGUGACAAGUAGCGGUGAAAUGCAUAGAUAUGUCACAGAACACCGAUUGCGAAGGCAGCUUACUAAAGUGUGAUUGACGCUGAGGCACGAAAGCGUGGGGAUCAAACAGG
Molecule: ribosomal RNA, 425 nt
Filed under: uncultured Mucilaginibacter sp.
Lineage: Bacteria; Pseudomonadati; Bacteroidota; Sphingobacteriia; Sphingobacteriales; Sphingobacteriaceae
Description: bacterial SSU rRNA
Rfam family: Bacterial small subunit ribosomal RNA
Source: RNAcentral